CGGGUGAGCUCAUUGUGAAACCUGGACCCACCCUAUAGGGCUUUGGAGUGUGAUGUCACAGGGGUGGGCGUGGAAAGGAUUUUGGCCUGAUGCACCAUUUUCCGGGUCCAAACAAAGCGCAAGCGAAAAAGGAGCGAAGGCACACACAACAGGUUCGUCCUUGCUGUGUGGUCGGCUGCAAUGUUCGAUCGCAUGACCGGCACGGGAAUGAGCUUAAAAAGUGUUUGUCUUUUUAUUCUUUCCCAACCUGAAAGCAACAUGAGGGAGCUUAUAUGGCGGACCUUAAAAAAUGAAGGCGUCUAGCCUGGAUAGCAGCCGUGAGAUGAGCUGAUAUCCAGUUUGCUUCCAUCUCCAGAUAUCUGUUGGUGUUCUCCAGACAUUUUCACUCCGGGAAGCCUGCCUAUGAAAUGGAUCAAACAAAUCCAGACUGGGUACCAACGUUACACAUGGGGCACUCAGAAAUGCGAACGUGAUGGUUAAGGUUAACAAGAUACGUGAAGAUAUUGGGGUAGGACAGUGGCAGUAAGUCGUCUGGGUCUUUACUCCACUGCCGAAUUUCAUAUGGGUCCACAUUUGCGAUGCACUCUAUUUUUUUUUUUUCAA
This is a long non-coding RNA of Haplochromis burtoni (Burton's mouthbrooder), 603 nucleotides long. RefSeq lists it as uncharacterized. The transcript has 2 exons. The record is from RefSeq and is a predicted model, not a curated record. NCBI's taxonomy places the organism in Eukaryota, Metazoa, Chordata, Actinopteri, Cichliformes, Cichlidae.